AUCCAGCUGACGAGUCCCAAAUAGAACGAAACGUGCAUCAAACUGGAU
Schistosoma mansoni is the source of this 48-nucleotide non-coding RNA. The record is from Rfam. Lineage: Eukaryota; Metazoa; Platyhelminthes; Trematoda; Strigeidida; Schistosomatidae.